UUCUUAUUCAGAGAGGUGGAGGGACUUGGCCCUGCGAUACCUCGGCAACGGACUUUUUAAGUGCUGUGCUAAAUCCAACAAGCGUCAGCUUGAAAAAUAAGAA
RNAcentral lists this non-coding RNA (103 nucleotides) under Virgibacillus necropolis. RNAcentral describes it as "SAM-I sequence". It matches the Rfam family "SAM riboswitch aptamer (S box leader)". From Rfam's summary of the family: The SAM riboswitch is found upstream of a number of genes which code for proteins involved in methionine or cysteine biosynthesis in Gram-positive bacteria. The SAM riboswitch acts at the level of transcription termination control. The record is from Rfam by way of RNAcentral. Lineage: Bacteria; Bacillati; Bacillota; Bacilli; Caryophanales; Bacillaceae.